This 69-nucleotide microRNA precursor is filed under the name Bigelowiella natans CCMP2755. RNAcentral describes it as "miRNA EPrBNAG00000013194". The record is from RNAcentral. Lineage: Eukaryota; Cercozoa; Chlorarachniophyceae.
UGAAUAUUAUAUAUAUGAUGAUGAUGAUGAUGAUGAUUAUUAUUAUCAUCAUCAUCAUCAUUAUUACCA